GAUAUCACCGUAUCCACCAAUCUGAGGGCGAGACUAACCACCAGCGCCUGGUUCCAGACCCUGCUUAGCCUCCCACAUAGGACGAGGUUUCAUUCUUGCCUCUAUAUCUGCUGCGACUUAAGAACAUGAAUGAGCUCGGGACCAGAGCACUGGAUUCAAAUCCUGUCUCCAUCAUACAGUGCUGUGAACUUAGGCAAUUGGUUUUUUUUUUAUUAGGCAUCUAAGCAACUUCUUUGUGAUUGUCAGUGAGAAGGCUCUGAGACAGACAUCCUUCUCUCCUGUUAUUCUGGAUGCUACAGAAUAAAAGAAGUCCUGGAUCUUGAGGAAGAAAAUGACUCAUGAGCAAACUGACUAUAAUACUUUGGCCAGCAGAGGAUUCCACGUACUAUUAUUCGGGAACAACAGACAUACAUGGUGAAAGGCAAUUGGUGUGGAGCUUUCUUCCACUCUGGGGGCAAUUGCAGGAUGCCCAGGGUAACUCCCUCUCUUGGCUUUUUCUCAGUUCUUUUCUUUGUCUUCUGGGUGCUUUCUCAGGUUGGGUCCUGGAAGGGCACCUCCCCUUCACCUCUUUUUCUCUGCAUCCCGUUUGGUGUCUCUGAAUCCUAUCCAAAGGCUGGUUGUCACAGCUGAUUCUUUGUGGAGGUGGCUCCUUCUCCCAUUGUCUAGGCUGUGACUAGACAAUGAUUACUUGUUAUAAAUCUCAUUCCAUGUGCACUCUCUUCUCCUCAUAGUCUUGUCAACUCAAAGGCAGGACAGUGCUAUUCACUUCCUUAAUCUAUCUUUCACCUAUAGACUAGAGAUUGGGGACCAUGCAUUUGCUCCACAGUGAUUUUUGAAGGACAGUUUUGCUGAUAUGGCCCCCAACAUUUACAUGUCUACCAGAAACACUGAAUUGAUAAGAAUUAUUCAUAUAGACCCACAAUGUCAUAACUUUUUUUUCAAUCAGAAAUUAUUUUGUUUGUGUGUUUCAAGAAUGUUCUUUUUUUUUAAAUUUAUUUAAAGUAAAAUACCUUUCAAGGUUUAGAAAUGAAGCCAUUUAACCAUGAAUCUUUGGAGUUUACUCACCGUGUCUAUUUUGAGAAGCCUUUCCAAAAGACGGUUGUGUACCACCAUCUACUAACAAGGGAGUUAGAAUGAAAUGUUCCCCUAACCUUUGAUAUUUGAAGACAGGCUCUUAAAGAUGAAGGGAGGUUCACCUGACUUUGGUCUCUGGGAAAUGGAGGACGAUUUAAACAUCCUUAAAAAAAUAUUUCCUUAUAUUCAGUGCCUUCCUUGAACAAGACUUCAAUUCAUCUCUCUAAGGGUUUCUAUGGUCUCUAUUAGUUUUUAAAAAGGUUUUGCCUUCAUUCUGUAUUAAUUAUUCAUAUUUUAUGUGUGUUUGUGUAGGCAGUCUCUCUCUCUCUCUCUCUCUCUCUCUCUCUCUCUCUCUCUCUGUAUGUGUUACUGUUUUUUUUAACCUAUUCAUAAGUAUCUUAUAGGGGAUGAACUGGUAAGAUCGAAAUUAGAGCUAUUCGCUACUAUUUUCAACACUGUGUAAUGAAAGGUUUGUUGAAGAAAGAGUUUGAAAUUACUGCUUUCCGUGCCAUGUUCUUUGUGAGUAAUUUGAAAAGCAUAUGAAUUAUAUGUUUUAUUCUUUUCUCGGUAAGACAGAAAAUUUUUCUUUUGAAUAAAAUCCUUCAUUAAUUUUUCUGUGUAUAGAGGCCCUCACAG
This is a long non-coding RNA of Mus musculus (house mouse), 1710 nucleotides long. RefSeq annotates it as predicted gene, 39338. The record is from RefSeq and is a predicted model, not a curated record. Lineage: Eukaryota; Metazoa; Chordata; Mammalia; Rodentia; Muridae. The transcript is spliced from 3 exons.